CGGCGAGUGAAGCGGGAACAGCUCAAAUUUGAAAUCUGGCCCUUGGGUCCGAGUUGUAAUUUGCAGAGGAUGCUUUUGGUGCGGUGCCUUCCGAGUUCCCUGGAACGGGACGCCUUAGAGGGUGAGAGCCCCGUACGGUUGGCCACCAAGCCUGUGUAAAGCUCCUUCGACGAGUCGAGUAGUUUGGGAAUGCUGCUCAAAAUGGGAGGUAUAUUUCUUCUAAAGCUAAAUACUGGCCAGAGACCGAUAGCGCACAAGUAGAGUGAUCGAAAGAUGAAAAGCACUUUGAAAAGAGGGUUAAAUAGCACGUGAAAUUGUUGAAAGGGAAGGAUUUAUGACCAGACUUUUUCUGGGGGGAUCAUCCGGUGUUCUCACCGGUGCACUUCCCCCAGUAGAGGCCAGCAUCGGUUUCUGCCGGGGGAUAAAAGCUUCGGGAAUGUGGCUCCUUCGGGAGUGUUAUAGCCCGUUGUAUAAUACCCUGGCGGGGACCGAGGUUCGCGCAUUGCAAGGAUGCUGGCGUAAUGGUUAUUAAUCACCCGUCUUGAAACACGGACCAAGGAGUCGAACAUUUGUG
This 574-nucleotide ribosomal RNA is filed under the name Apiospora arundinis. RNAcentral's name for it is "Arthrinium arundinis partial large subunit ribosomal RNA". It matches the Rfam family "Eukaryotic large subunit ribosomal RNA", at positions 87 to 686 of the family's 3401-position model. Lineage: Eukaryota; Fungi; Ascomycota; Sordariomycetes; Amphisphaeriales; Apiosporaceae. The record is from RNAcentral.